This 468-nucleotide ribosomal RNA is filed under the name uncultured bacterium. RNAcentral describes it as "partial 16S ribosomal RNA". It matches the Rfam family "Bacterial small subunit ribosomal RNA", at positions 28 to 507 of the family's 1533-position model. The record is from RNAcentral.
GACGAACGCUGGCGGCGUGCUUAACACAUGCAAGUCGAACGGAAAGGCCCUGCUUUUGUGGGGUGCUCGAGUGGCGAACGGGUGAGUAACACGUGAGUAACCUGCCCUUGACUUUGGGAUAACUUCAGGAAACUGGGGCUAAUACCGGAUAGGAGCUCCUGCUGCAUGGUGGGGGUUGGAAAGUUUCGGCGGUUGGGGAUGGACUCGCGGCUUAUCAGCUUGUUGGUGGGGUAGUGGCUUACCAAGGCUUUGACGGGUAGCCGGCCUGAGAGGGUGACCGGCCACAUUGGGACUGAGAGACGGCCCAGACGCCUACGGGAGGCAGCAGUCGGGAAUAUUGCACAAUGGGCGGAAGCCUGAUGCGGCAACGCCGCGUGCGGGAUGACGGCCUUGGGGGUGUAAACCGCUUUCGCCUGUGACGAAGCGUGAGUGACGGUAAUGGGUAAAGAAGCACCGGCUAACUACGUG